Molecule: unclassified non-coding RNA, 1180 nt
Filed under: Caenorhabditis elegans
Lineage: Eukaryota; Metazoa; Nematoda; Chromadorea; Rhabditida; Rhabditidae
Description: Non-coding transcript of protein-coding gene nhr-93
Source: RNAcentral
AUGGUAUGUGCUCGUCCAGCACAUGGCUAUCAUUGUGACGUGACAACAUGCAAAGGAUGCAAGUCCUUUUUCCGUCGAAUGUAUCUAUUGAGGUCUGAAAUAAAAUGCAGUGGUAGAAAUGAUUGUUUUGAUUUGAAAAAGCGAAUUGAACCACUGCUCCGGUGUCGGUCGUGUAGAUACAGGAAAUGUCUGCUAGUUGGUAUGAACCCCGAAGCUCUAGUGUUCAAUAUGCUAACCAAGGAAGAUUCCAUAAUAAAAGUAAUCAAUUCAUUGGAUUACUUGGAUCAGAAGGUUGAAAAAUUCCGAUUAUGCGCCUAUAAUCCAGAUUGGGCAACAAUGGGAGGGCUGGCGGAUUUGAUUAAAAAUAAUGGGAAACUGAAUCAAGUUGAUAAAUAUGGACCUUUUCCCGGAUGGCCCCUCGAUCCGGAUCACGAGUUUGCGCACCAGAAUUUUUAUCGAGAUCUUAAAGCGUUCUCAACUGACAGAAAAGAAUGGAGAUUGUUCAACUUGCUUGCAUCAAUAGAAUAUUCAAAAACAUUCCUAUUUUUCCAAAAUCUUGACUUGCCUGACCAGUUGAGAGUACUAAAACACACAGCAGCAGGCUGUAGUAGUCUAAGUUGCUCGUUUUUCACUUUAAGGCAAAAAUAUGAAGAUAUACGACAACCGGAUGGAACACAGCGGCCUUCUAAAUUGUGAGUCAACUAGAAUGAUAUAUUGAACUUCCCGCCAAUCCCGGACACUCCGCGCGCCCAUCCCACUCUGAGUAUUGCGGCCGACGCUAGACGGGUUGCGAUUCCACUGAGUGUUAUAUAGCACCUGGCUAUGCACUGUUCUCAGCACUGAUAGGACCGAUGAGACGGGUCGGUACUCAAUACUUUGAGUAUUUGCUGCUAAAAGCAUUAUAUUUGUGCAAUCCAGCGAUUCCUGGCUUAACAGUUCAAGCUCAACAUGUGCUGGAAAGAGAGCGUCGGUUAUAUUCCAACAUUCUAAUGGAGUUUUGUCUUCGGAAUUAUUCAAAUGGAGCAACGAAAUUUGUAGAUGUUAUUCAACUGAUUGGAGUGCUGGAAUGGCAACAGAAGAACUUGAAGGAUCUUCACGUGUUAUUGUUAACACCAGUGCUAUCACAGUUACCAGGAGAUUUUUGUGUUAGCUUUGUACAUGAGCUGGUGUUUGAUUAAUU